UACGAAGGGGGCUAGCGUUGCUCGGAAUCACUGGGCGUAAAGGGUGCGUAGGCGGGUCUUUAAGUCGAGGGGUGAAAUCCUGGAGCUCAACUCCAGAACUGCCUUUGAUACUGAGGAUCUUGAGUUCGGGAGAGGUGAGUGGAACUGCGAGUGUAGAGGUGAAAUUCGUAGAUAUUCGCAAGAACACCAGUGGCGAAGGCGGCUCACUGGCCCGAUACUGACGCUGAGGCACGAAAGCGUGGGGAGCAAACAGG
This 254-nucleotide ribosomal RNA is filed under the name uncultured bacterium. Its description in RNAcentral is "partial 16S ribosomal RNA". It matches the Rfam family "Bacterial small subunit ribosomal RNA", at positions 524 to 776 of the family's 1533-position model. The record is from RNAcentral.